This 928-nucleotide long non-coding RNA is filed under the name Homo sapiens (human). RNAcentral's name for it is "HSALNT0306032". Lineage: Eukaryota; Metazoa; Chordata; Mammalia; Primates; Hominidae. The record is from RNAcentral.
CUUAUUACAAUCACAAAGGAGGAAGCGGGGAUUUAUGACUUCAUGCAGUUUAAACCACCUGCCUGCCUAAGUGGCAAAGCUAGCUGCUCACAGGACAGCUCUGAAUCUGACUAAGCUUAUUCCAUCAAACUUCACUCCAGAAUUUUCAAAUCACCGAACCCCAAAGUUAUGGGAAUUUGUUGCCAAGGGAGAAAGACAGUGGAAUUUCUGCUUUCCUGAUCUGCAGAAACUAUAAAACUGACCCAAUAGAUAUGGAUAUCGCCUCAUCAGCAAAGCAGCACUCUCGCAUAUUCUUUCCUGAAGGAUUUAUAUAGUUUCAAUAUGCUCCUCAUUGAUUCCAGAUUAGACUGUAUUGCCUGCCCUCAUGAGAUGUGUUUCUCCUCCAAGAAUUCCUGAUAGUCCUCUGGUGUGUAUGUGUGUGCACUCAUGCAUUUGGCUUUCAGCUACAGCCACCAUAUGGCGACUACCACACUUACCCUUCUCCUGCAAGAGGCACACAGCCUACCCUGAGUUUUCCGGUGGUUCUGAACAGGGGCCCAAAGAUGCCUGUGACUCAGGCUCUCCAUCACCAUUACAAUAGAAAGAAUGGACAUACAAAGAAUCACAUUUGCCUUCCACUUCUGCAAUUUGCUGACCCUAGCAGACUACACGAACUAGAUGAUUGGAACUCCUCAAGGGUAACCUCUGUAAGACUGCAGACUUAAAGGUUGUCAGCAACUUGGCUUAUAUCUGCAGUGGCUUUGUUUCUCUCCAGUGCAUAAACCAAAGGUAAAAUUGGACUCACGAGCUAACCUUUACCACCAGGCAUUCUUUUACUUGAAGAUGAUAAUAGACUUUCCUUGUGGUGGAAGUUGUGCGCCAUGAGUGCCCUCUCUUGUGUCACCGUACGAGUGUGUAAAGUAAGAAGUGCAGGCAGGGAGUAGCAGGA